AACAAACGCUGGCGGCGUGCCUAAUACAUGCAAGUCGAACGGGGAAAGCUUUCGGGUGAGUACUAGUGGCGCACGGGUGAGGAACGCGUGGAUAAUCUGCCUUAGAGUGGGGGAUAACUAGUCGAAAGAUUAGCUAAUAUCGCAUAAGACCACGAGAGCUGCGGCUUUUGAGGUCAAAGGUUUUUCGCUCUAAGAUGAGUCCGCGUAAGAUUAGCUAGUUGGUGAGGUAACGGCUCACCAAGGCGACGAUCUUUAACUGGUCUGAGAGGAUGAUCAGUCACACUGGAACUGAGACACGGUCCAGACUCCUACGGGAGGCAGCAGUAGGGAAUAUUGCACAAUGGAGGAAACUCUGAUGCAGCGACGCCGCGUGAGUGAUGAAGGCCUUCGGGUCGUAAAGCUCUGUCGCAGGGGAAUAACACAAUGAAGGUACCCUGUAAGAAAGGAUCGGCUAACUUCGUG
RNAcentral lists this ribosomal RNA (462 nucleotides) under uncultured bacterium. RNAcentral describes it as "partial 16S ribosomal RNA". It matches the Rfam family "Bacterial small subunit ribosomal RNA", at positions 29 to 507 of the family's 1533-position model. The record is from RNAcentral.